CGUGAAAUUGUUGAAAGGGAAGCGCUUGCAACCAGACUUGCACUUGGUCGAUCAUCCGGGGUUCUCCCCGGUGCACUCGAUCUCGUUCAGGCCAGCAUCGGUUUAGGUGGUGGGAUAAAGG
Molecule: ribosomal RNA, 121 nt
Filed under: Fuscolachnum misellum
Lineage: Eukaryota; Fungi; Ascomycota; Leotiomycetes; Helotiales; Hyphodiscaceae
Description: partial large subunit ribosomal RNA
Source: RNAcentral